UGCACCACAGCACUUUCAUGUGAAAAACAAAGAGAGAACAGAAGAGAGAACUCGAGAGAGAAGAGCAAGGGAGACGCCGCCGCCUUGCCCUAGCCGCCGAGAACGCCGCGCGCGCGAGGGAGAGAGCGACGAGAGAGAGAGAGGGGCCGCGAGGAAGAGGAAAGAAAGGGGGACUUGGACAGCAGCCUUUAACUCUUCUUCAACACCCAAUUUCUUAUUUUCUAUCACACCAAAUCAAGGUAAGGGCUGGUCCUAGGACUUGGGUAGCAUGUCUAGGUCAUAUUGCCAUGUUUUGUCAUGAUUUUAUGUAUGAUCUUGAUUGGUUUCUUGAAGCCUUUGAACAUGUGUUGUUGCUGGACUUUUAUGAUCAUGAUGCUUGCUGGAUUUUGCCAUGAGAUACCAUGUGUUAUUGUUUCACUAUUUGCUAUUCUUGCCUUAGACCUUGAUGCUUUGUGAAGAUCCCAUGCAAUACUUGCUAAGUUUGGCAUGAAAUUUAUUUGUCCAACGUGAUGAUUGAGAUGUGUCAGGUUCUGAAAUCUUUUCUUAGGGUGAUUCCACAUGAAUAUAUGACGUUUUGUUGCUGGAAAAUGGCUUUGAAACUUUGCACUUGCAUCUUCAAAAUUUUAAUUUAGGGCAGAAGUGACCCUUCCAGUUUUCUGUACUGGACAGCGGACUUCAUGGCUCGAUAUCACCUAUUUAUUUUCUUCAGAUGAAAACGUGGUAAACUAGGAAGUUAUAGAUCUUCGAAUUAGCUUUCUAGGCCUAUAAAGAACAAAUUUUUUGGUUUAGUAAUGAGGUCUGGAGAUCGGUUUUAGUGACUGAUACACCUGCUGUUUUCCCUGUACCGGACAGCGAGCUUCAGAGCCUAAUAUCACCAAGUUCUGGGUUUCAACAGAAAAAGUGUUAAACUAGAAAGUGGUAGAUUUUCGAAAUAGCUUUCCAGGCAUGUAUAGUAUGUCAUAUUCGGUUGAGAAUUGAGUUCGGGAGAUCGUUUUUAGUGAUCGCUGUUCCUGCUGUUUUUUUUUAGAAAAUGAAUAUGACACUUGUUUUCAGAAAACUUGAAUCUAUUGGUUUUUUGGAUUGGAUGUUUUUCUGAAUUUGGAAUAUCUAAUUUACUUGUAUGGUAUUGAUGCAUUUUGUUACUGGCUGGAUUAUUCUGUAAAAAAGGCCGCUCAUCUAGCUGUAAUUCCCGAUGUGUCUGUGAUCGCUUUAUUUUUAUAUUUAUGCGAUGAAUGUGGUUGUAUAAAGAGAAAAAUAAGACUCUAGGUUUGACAUUAGAGCCAAUAAAACCAAGUAAAAGAGACUUAUUGUGAUGUAACUCGCUUGCAAGUGAACUUAAUUAAUGGAACAUAGGUCGGUGUAGACUAUGGUCCAUGAGAGCGAUGGGCUUGCACGCGAGGGAGAAUUUUGUGGAUCAUUGCGGCUCCACGUAUUUUGGUUGACUGCGGUCACCGUGAGACUUUUGUGGAUCAUUGCGGCUCCACGUGAUUUGGUUGACUGCAGCCACCAUGAGAUUUUGUGAAGUAUUGCAGCUUCACGUGAUUUGUACAUAUGCGGAUGUAUGUGAUUGGCCAAGGAAGGUUUGAUGGGUUGUGUGAUGUGAGAUUUCGUUAGUAACUGAGUAACUGACUUUAUUCCCAUAAAAGACAUAUAACAUACUUAUAUUGUGUACUUUCGAUUUUGUUGUUAUCAUUUCUGUUGGACCUGACCCUUGCACUACUUGUUUAUUUGUUAUUUGGGGGGGGGGGUAGCUGGUCGUGAAGAUAACGGCGACGACCCAUUCUUGGGAGCUGAUACUCCAUGACGAGCCACUACCGGAUGACGACUACACUCCUGAUGAAGAGGAAGAAGAUAAAGAGGAAGAGGCCAAGGAAUAGGUUUGGGUUGAGAGUACCGAGUUCGGGAAGCAUUGACCAAUUAUUUUGCUUUCAUUUGGAUCAAUAAAGUUGAUGUAAUUUACUUUGGUUUUAGAUGUAUAUUUCAUACUUAUUUUAUUUAAUUCAAAAGUUUUGGGAUGAUGUUUACUUCCGCGAGAUUUGUAAAGGUUAAUCUUUCAAGAGUUUCGCAA
This 2068-nucleotide long non-coding RNA is filed under the name Lotus japonicus. RNAcentral's name for it is "long non-coding RNA (LJAP_LNC000982)". Lineage: Eukaryota; Viridiplantae; Streptophyta; Magnoliopsida; Fabales; Fabaceae. The record is from RNAcentral.